Molecule: ribosomal RNA, 279 nt
Filed under: uncultured Eubacteriales bacterium
Lineage: Bacteria; Bacillati; Bacillota; Clostridia; Eubacteriales
Description: uncultured Clostridiales bacterium partial 16S ribosomal RNA
Rfam family: Bacterial small subunit ribosomal RNA
Source: RNAcentral
UGUGCCAGCAGCCGCGGUAAUACGUAAGGUCCGAGCGUUGUCCGGAAUCAUUGGGCGUAAAGGGUACGUAGGCGGGUAAGCAAGUUAGAAGUGAAAUCCUAUAGCUCAACUAUAGUAAGCUUUUAAAACUGUUUAUCUUGAGGUAUGGAAGGGAAAGUGGAAUUCCUAGUGUAGCGGUGAAAUGCGCAGAUAUUAGGAGGAAUACCGGUGGCGAAGGCGACUUUCUGGCCAUAACCUGACGCUGAGGUACGAAAGCGUGGGUAGCAAACAGGAUUAGAU